Long non-coding RNA from Panicum virgatum (switchgrass), 1525 nucleotides. RefSeq lists it as uncharacterized. NCBI's taxonomy places the organism in Eukaryota, Viridiplantae, Streptophyta, Magnoliopsida, Poales, Poaceae. The transcript has 3 exons. The record is from RefSeq and is a predicted model, not a curated record.
AUUGCUUGUUAAUUUGUUAAUUAUAAUCUGUAGAGCAAUGCAGUGAGGAUAAUAUUUUUUAAUGCAAUUUUUAGGUUCAAAUCAUGAAGAGGAAGAAGGGUAGUAGUGCUAUGUUGAUCAUUUAGUGCAUCUUUGUUGAUACUCCAGUUCUUGGAUCUUGGUUGCAAAUAUUGGUUUAGAGACAUAGAGUUCACUGAUUUGCGGUGCUUGUGCUUCUAGUAGCAACUGCAAGUUUGAAAGAGUCUAUUCUGUCAUGAAUUGUGUGGGCAAACUUUUUUCUUCCUCUGUUAGUAUAGCUACUAAUUCAAUUCAAUUUUGCUCACGUCAAGCGUAUUCGAUUUGCAGCAAGAAACCAUGGAGACUUUGGAACCGGAAGAAAGCAUAGAUUCGCAUGAAGAAACCAUGAAUUCACAGAAUCUACAAGACAAAGAAAGCGUGAAUUUGCAAGAAGGAACCAUGAAUUCACAGAAUCAGCAAGACAAUCUGGGAAGGCCACCGCGUUGCGCACCACAUGCAAUCUCUGAAUUAGGCAUACUUCUGUCAGAAACUGCAAGGGAAUUUGUCAAAAGUGCUGGGUUUCAUAAUAUGCUGAGGGAAUUUCCAUCGAAGAUUCCAAAAUUAACAUUUGUUAUGUGGCUUAUGGACAGAGUCCAAUUUGAUGAGAGUGGUAACAUUGCACUGACCCUAAAAGAGGGAAUGACACGAACCCUAACAAAGGAAGAUGUAUAUCUUAUUCUUGGAAUUGGCAAGACGCCUGGUGAAAGAACUGAUCUUCCAUCAGGGAAUCAAGAAUACCCAGCUGUACUAAAAAAACUGCAUGAGAUUUUGAGUUAUGCUAGUAGGAAGCUGGCAGAGAAGGGCGCCAAGAAAUCAAGAAAGGCCGCCAACAAAUCAAGAGUUUUAUUCACCAAACAGUGUAUUAAGGAGGUGCUUCAGAAUGCAGGCGACGAUGAAAUCAAAAAACACUUUGACGAUGAAAUGGCUGCCAAGUUAUUUUGCUUUGUAGUGUUAGACAAGUUGCUGAUUUCACUGGGCUUCAGUACUGUAACUAAAUCCCUUUUAGAUGCCGUCCUAAAUCUUGAUGAGUUGAAGAAAGUGGACUGGUCCACUUUAGUCUUCAACAAACUGAAGGAAAGCAUUGUUGACUGGAAAACGGGCAGUAGGAAUCUCACGGGUUGUAUUUACCUGCUGAUAGUAAGUAUCUUAGUUUCUCUUCUCUUUUUGUGUAGACAGCAAGUUAUCUAACUGUAGAAUCAUGCACAUGUGUUUUUUUUUGGACAACAUCAAGAAUGAAUUGCACCAGGAUCCCAAGCCCUUUCUGAUCCCAAGACUCAGUCGAUACACGUUUAAACGAAUAACUGAUCUGCUAGGAGAUGAUUAUGAAAAAAUAAAUUUUAAGAGUUGGGAAGACACCUGCUAUGCAAACAGAGGAAGUGUAGAAGAGUACACAGAGCCCACGGCAAAGAAAGCAGGCAAAAAGAGGAAAGAAGCACCCCCGGCAAUAGGACAAGGACAGGAAAAGGCA